AGUUAACGUUGGCGGCGUGCCUAACACAUGCAAGUCGAACGGCAGCAUGGGUGCUUGCACCUGAUGGCGAGUGGCGAACGGGUGAGUAAUGCAUCGGAACGUACCCGGAAGUGGGGGAUAACGUAGCGAAAGUUACGCUAAUACCGCAUAUUCUGUGAGCAGGAAAGCGGGGGAUCGCAAGACCUCGCGCUUCCGGAGCGGCCGAUGUCGGAUUAGCUAGUUGGCGGGGUAAAGGCCCACCAAGGCAACGAUCCGUAGCGGGUCUGAGAGGAUGAUCCGCCACACUGGGACUGAGACACGGCCCAGACUCCUACGGGAGGCAGCAGUGGGGAAUUUUGGACAAUGGGCGCAAGCCUGAUCCAGCCAUGCCGCGUGCAGGAUGAAGGCCUUCGGGUUGUAAACUGCUUUUGUACGGAACGAAAAAGGACUACUCUCUAAUACAGGGGUGAAGUGACGGUAACCGUAAGAAUAAGCACCGGCUAACUACGUGCCAGCAGCCGAC
Molecule: ribosomal RNA, 502 nt
Filed under: uncultured bacterium
Lineage: Bacteria
Description: bacterial SSU rRNA
Rfam family: Bacterial small subunit ribosomal RNA
Source: RNAcentral